AUUGAACGCUGGCGGCAGGCCUAACACAUGCAAGUCGAACGAGUGGCGGACGGGGGAGUAAUGUCUGGGAAACUGCAUGAUGGAGGGGGAUAACUACUGGAAACGGUAGCUAAUACCGCAUACCAUCAGAUGUGCCCAGAUGGGAUUCGCUAGUUGGGUGGGUAACGGCCCACCAAGGCGACGAUCCCUAGCUGGUCUGAGAGGAUGACCAGCCACACUGGAACUGUGACACGGUCCAGACUCGUACGGGAGGCAGCAGUGGGGAAUAUUGCACAAUGGGCGCAAGCCUGAUGCAGCCAUGCCGCGUGUGUGAAGAAGGCCUUCGGGUUGUAAAGUACUUUCAGCGGGGAGGCGUUACCAGCAGAAGAAGCACCGGCUAACUCCGUGCCAGCAGCCGCGGUAAUAC
This 406-nucleotide ribosomal RNA is filed under the name uncultured bacterium. RNAcentral's name for it is "partial 16S ribosomal RNA". It matches the Rfam family "Bacterial small subunit ribosomal RNA", at positions 30 to 526 of the family's 1533-position model. The record is from RNAcentral.